Molecule: ribosomal RNA, 1257 nt
Filed under: uncultured bacterium
Lineage: Bacteria
Description: bacterial SSU rRNA
Rfam family: Bacterial small subunit ribosomal RNA
Source: RNAcentral
AUUGAACGCUGGCGGCAUGCCUUACACAUGCAAGUCGAACGGUAACAGGUCUUCGGAUGCUGACGAGUGGCGAACGGGUGAGUAAUACAUCGGAACGUGCCCGAUCGUGGGGGAUAACGAAGCGAAAGCUUUGCUAAUACCGCAUACGAUCUACGGAUGAAAGCAGGGGACCGCAAGGCCUUGCGCGAACGGAGCGGCCGAUGGCAGAUUAGGUAGUUGGUGGGAUAAAAGCUUACCAAGCCGACGAUCUGUAGCUGGUCUGAGAGGACGACCAGCCACACUGGGACUGAGACACGGCCCACACUCCUACGGGAGGCAGCAGUGGGGAAUUUUGGACAAUGGGCGAAAGCCUGAUCCAGCCAUGCCGCGUGCAGGAUGAAGGCCUUCGGGUUGUAAACUGCUUUUGUACGGAACGAAAAGACUCUGGUUAAUACCUGGGGUCCAUGACGGUACCGUAAGAAUAAGCACCGGCUAACUACGUGCCAGCAGCCGCGGUAAUACGUAGGGUGCAAGCGUUAAUCGGAAUUACUGGGCGUAAAGCGUGCGCAGGCGGUUAUAUAAGACAGAUGUGAAAUCCCCGGGCUCAACCUGGGAACUGCAUUUGUGACUGUAUAGCUAGAGUACGGCAGAGGGGGAUGGAAUUCCGCGUGUAGCAGUGAAAUGCGUAGAUAUGCGGAGGAACACCGAUGGCGAAGGCUAUCCCCUGGGCCUGUACUGACGCUCAUGCACGAAGGCGUGGGGAGCAAACAGGAUUAGAUACCCUGGUAGUCCACGCCCUAAACGAUGUCAACUGGUUGUUGGGUCUUCACUGACUCAGGAACGAAGCUAACGCGUGAAGCUGACCGCCUGGGGAGUACGGCCGCAAGGUUGAAACUCAAAGGAAUUGACGGCGACCCGCACAAGCGGUGGAUGAUGUGGUUUAAUUCCAUGCAACGCGAAAAACCUUACCCACCUUUGACAUGUACGGAAUCCUUUAAAGAUAGAGGAGUGCUCAACAGAGAGCCGUAUCACAUGUGCUGCAUGGCUGUCCUACACUCGCGUCUAGAGAUGUUGGGCUAAGUCCCUCAAAGAGCGCAACCCUUGCCAUUAGUCGCUCCUAAAGGGCUCUCUACUGCGACUGCCGGUGACAAACCUGACGAAGGUGGGGAUUACCUCAAGUCCUCAUGGCUCUUAUAGGUGGGGGUACACAUCUCAUACAAUGGCUGGUACAAAGGGGUGCCAUACCCACAGCGGGUAGCCUAAUCCCAAUAAAGCCAG